AUAAGUCAAGAAAUGCUAAUCUUCCAUCUUUGUUUCUUCUACUGCUUUGUCUCUUCUCUGAAAUUGAAGGGAUUGAGACCACUCGCCGGAGAGUAGUAGAAGAACCAGUGAGAGGGCGAAUUGCAACCCCUCCAUCUGUAACAUGCGGAGGCCAAAGACUUGGAGGACCACAACCAAGUUUAAGUCCAUGCCCACGUCCACGGCCACGGCCACGUCCAGGCUCUUUAAGAAGAUCUACUACCGACCCUUGAAGAAAAAGGAAAUAAAAAUAUAAAUAUUCUAUUUUUGUGCAGCAACUUUUAUUUACAUUUUGUUAGACACAAACAAAGUUUUAAUCCAAAAAAAUGGUACUUUUAUAUGUU
Long non-coding RNA from Arabidopsis lyrata subsp. lyrata, 362 nucleotides. RefSeq lists it as uncharacterized. NCBI's taxonomy places the organism in Eukaryota, Viridiplantae, Streptophyta, Magnoliopsida, Brassicales, Brassicaceae. The transcript has 2 exons. The record is from RefSeq and is a predicted model, not a curated record.